This 254-nucleotide ribosomal RNA is filed under the name uncultured bacterium. RNAcentral's name for it is "partial 16S ribosomal RNA". It matches the Rfam family "Bacterial small subunit ribosomal RNA", at positions 524 to 776 of the family's 1533-position model. The record is from RNAcentral.
UACAGAGGUCUCAAGCGUUGUUCGGAUUCAUUGGGCGUAAAGGGUGUGUAGGCGGUCAGCACAAGUCAGUUGUGAAAUCUCCGGGCUUAACUCGGAAAGGUCAACUGAUACUGUGCGACUAGAGUGCGGAAGGGGCAACUGGAAUUCUCGGUGUAGCGGUGAAAUGCGUAGAUAUCGAGAGGAACACCUGCGGCGAAGGCGGGUUGCUGGGCCGACACUGACGCUGAUGCGCGAAAGCCAGGGGAGCGAACGGG